UACGAAGGGGGCUAGCGUUGCUCGGAUUUACUGGGCGUAAAGCGCACGUAGGCGGAUCGUUAAGUCGGGGGUGAAAUCCUGGAGCUCAACUCCAGAACUGCCUUCGAUACUGGCGAUCUCGAGUCCGGAAGAGGUGAGUGGAACUCCUAGUGUAGAGGUGGAAUUCGUAGAUAUUAGGAAGAACACCAGUGGCGAAGGCGACUCACUGGUCCGGUACUGACGCUGAGGUGCGAAAGCGUGGGGAGCAAACAGG
RNAcentral lists this ribosomal RNA (253 nucleotides) under uncultured bacterium. RNAcentral describes it as "partial 16S ribosomal RNA". It matches the Rfam family "Bacterial small subunit ribosomal RNA", at positions 524 to 776 of the family's 1533-position model. The record is from RNAcentral.